AAAAGAAAAAAAGAAGAAAAAAAAUAUAAGGAUGUAUACAUGUCAAUACAUACUCCUUAUGAAAAAAAAGAGAAAGAAGAAGAGAAAUAUGAAUGAAAACAGUUACUAUAGAGUUGUUGAAGUGGAUGAAAUAUUUUGUAAAUUCAACUCCCGCAGUUUCUUUCAAGUCUCUUUUGUCUCUUUGAAUUUUAGCCUAAUACCCCU
Molecule: long non-coding RNA, 204 nt
Filed under: Lathyrus oleraceus (garden pea)
Lineage: Eukaryota; Viridiplantae; Streptophyta; Magnoliopsida; Fabales; Fabaceae
Description: Pisum sativum (pea) long non-coding RNA (PSAT_LNC018353)
Source: RNAcentral